This 838-nucleotide ribosomal RNA is filed under the name Taphrina americana. RNAcentral's name for it is "SSU rRNA". It matches the Rfam family "Bacterial small subunit ribosomal RNA", at positions 563 to 1347 of the family's 1533-position model. The record is from RNAcentral. Lineage: Eukaryota; Fungi; Ascomycota; Taphrinomycetes; Taphrinales; Taphrinaceae.
AAGGGUCCGUAAAACGGUAAAUUAAGCGAGUAUUUUAUAUUACUAUCGAACUGGUUUACUAGAGUCUUAUAGAGGAACAGAGGAAUUGCAAGAGUAAGGAUGAAAUCUUUUGAUACUUGUAGGACCGCCAACGGCGAAGGCAUCGUUCCAGGUAAAGACUGACGUUGAGGGACGUAGGCGUUGGGAGCGAAAAGGAUUAGAUACCCCUGUAGUCAACGCUGUAAACGAUGAGUGCUUAAGAUUAGUAAUAAUUAUUUAUUCUUUUUUUUUUUAAAUAAUUCUAAAUUAGUCUCGAAAUGAAGAUGUUAAGCACUUCACCUGGGGAGUACUGUCGCAAGGCUGAAACCCAAAACAUUAGACGGUCACGGAAACCAGCAGUGAAGCAUGUUAUUUAAUACGAUGAUCCGCGUACAACCUUACCACUUCUUGAAUGUCCUUUCCCGUAAAAAGGAUUGGCCUAUUUAAUUAAACUUGAUAAAUAUUAAUUAAAUUUGGAUAAAUACAACAGGCGUUGCAUGGCUGUCUUCAGUUCGUGUCGUGAGAUGUCAGGUUCAUUCCGCUAAACGAAUGAAACCCUUCUUUCUUAAUUUUAUUUAUAUUGAAUAUUGGUCUAAUUUAGAUUAAUUUUUAUUUCAUUAAGAUGACCCUUGGAUAACGAGGAUAUAAUGGGGAUUAAGACAAGUCGUCAUGGCCUUUAUGAAGUGGGCUAUAGACGUGCCACAAGAGCCUUUACAAUGGGAUGCUAAGACAAAAGUCAGCGCUAAACCUUAAAAAAGGCUAUGUUCGGAUUGUAGUCUGCAACUCGACUACAUGAAGCAGGAAUUGCUAGUAAUCGUAA